Molecule: long non-coding RNA, 1022 nt
Organism: Nannospalax galili (Upper Galilee mountains blind mole rat)
Lineage: Eukaryota; Metazoa; Chordata; Mammalia; Rodentia; Spalacidae
Exons: 6
Source: RefSeq, a predicted model, not a curated record
CGUAUAGGGCUCGGGCGGGUCGCGGGACCGUGUGGCAGAACCUGCGGGCUAGGUGGGCAACUGAUCCUCCUAGACGCAAGAAAGCAAGGAAACCUGCCUGCACUAGCGAGGCAGCGUGCGGGGACCCGCUGUCCCGCGGCCGCAUCCUCCAGCUGCGGGAGACGGCGCACCAGCGGGCGCCCUGGCGGCGGCGGCGGCGCCCAGAGCGCAGGCCUCUCUUGGAUAGCCUGGAUGUACAGGAUGGCCUCCAGAUGCUCAGUUUUCAUCUCAACCUCCCGGAGUGUGCCAGCCACCAGGCCAGAACACCCACCUCUCUUUAAUGAACUGAUCAGAGUGUUGUUUGGUUGAUGAUCUGGGACUUCGGUGGCAGUGUGGAAGCCAAAACAGGAGCUUCUAGAAGGGGCUCCUGACAGGAAUCCAAAAAACCACAGCAUGUGACAGGUCAAGAUAGAACAUCUCAAGCCCUUCACAAGAGUUAAAUAUUCAUCUCAUCACCAACAUGAAGGUGCAGCUCAGGAAGUGAAACUGCCUUAGAGAAGGUGGCAAGAACUGCUUCAAGGAAACAGGCUGUUUAUGGGCGAUUCGAAAGAUGCUCAGUCUGAAGGUUAUUUUAACUGGUCUAGAGCUUCAUUCUUCAUAAUAUUACCUUUUCCACUAAGUCUCUACUGAAUGUAAUGACCACAGCAAACUCUCUUGUACCUGAAAGCAUGGAAAGACUUGGAAUUUCCUGAAGAUAUAAUGCUGUCCUUUAUCACUGUUCCUUACCCACUUUUCCCAAAUGGCCUUCACUAGAUGUAGUGGUGCUACAUGAGAUGAAACUGCCUCCUGGAAAAGGCCUGGGUCCGCAGAGACAACUUUGGAAAACUCGCCAUCCAUUGAUGUUGACUUGAGGGAAGAAUGGAUGUACUCUGGUUACUCAUGAAGCAGCCAAGCUGCAGAGGCAGUGUCUUUGGCAGUUCUCAUGCCUGCUUUCCCGGAAUGUUUUUCUUGACUGGGAAGAUACAAAUAAAUGUGUUACUUUU